RNAcentral lists this ribosomal RNA (483 nucleotides) under Triticum aestivum (bread wheat). RNAcentral's name for it is "partial small subunit ribosomal RNA". Lineage: Eukaryota; Viridiplantae; Streptophyta; Magnoliopsida; Poales; Poaceae. The record is from RNAcentral.
AUGAAGAUAGAAAACUUUUUAGAUGAUCGAUCUAUCUGGGAUCUGAUUUGGAAAGCUAAGGUACCACAAAAAGUCCGGAUUUUUGGAUGGAGGGUCGCUACUAAUACUCUGGCAACAAAGAGAAACAAGUUUAGAAGGACUAUUGAGCUGGAUGCCAUCUGUAAUAUUUGCAACAACGGCGAAGAGGAUGAGUACCAUGCGGUUCUUGCCUACACAAAGAGUAGAGCACUCAGAACAGCUAUGAGGAAAGAAUGGUCGCUCCCUGAUGAGAGAGACUUUAGGUACACUGGGAGGGAUUGGCUUCAGGUGCUCCUUGACACUGAACCUGUGGACACUCGCGCUAAUAUUCUGCUCCUUUUGUGGAGAUGCUGGCACUUGCGCGAGGACUGCAUUCGCAAUGUGGGCAAAGAAUCGAUUAUGGGAUCUGUGCAGUUCCUGCUGAGGUAUUCUGAAGAGUUUAAAUCAGCGGCAAUUGAGUGGUGA